This 1121-nucleotide long non-coding RNA is filed under the name Felis catus (domestic cat). RNAcentral's name for it is "lncRNA (ENSFCAG00000050025.1)". Lineage: Eukaryota; Metazoa; Chordata; Mammalia; Carnivora; Felidae. The record is from RNAcentral.
CGCAGAAUCUCUCCGCCGCCCCUGCUCCAGGCCCCUGAUCCGGGCAAAAUUUUCUGUGCAUCCCAGGAGCUAAGUUUCCUCUCGGGGCUUGUGUGAGUUGGGAGACAGGAAACCUGCCUGCAGUGGUUUAAACAGGUACAACAGGAUACGGGAGAAGGACUGGUCUUGUCUCCGUGCUGACUGAGACUCCGGGACGGUAGGUGCCGAGGACUCCCCCCGCAUUCCAGAGUGGGGACGCCCACCAAAGCCGGAGGUGCUUGAGAAGCAGUUUAGGGACCUGAGCCGACCACCCCACCUCGAGUCACAAAAGAGGCCGGAGAAGCUGAGAGCAAUUAGAAAUAAUCAGAGAUAUCACUUCUCAGGAGAGAAGCGUCCUGCCCCCCCCCCCCCCAGCAGAGGGAAAGAGGUGGGGGCGUCCUAUUCCUCCCAAACAGAGGGAAAGAGGUGGGGGCAUCCUGUCUCCCUCCCCCACGGCAGAGGGAAAGAGGUGGGGGCGUCCUGCCCCCCCCAGCAGAGGGAAAGAGGUGGGGGCGUCCUAUUCCCCCCAAACAGAGGGAAAGAGGUGGGGGCGUCCUGCCCCCCCACGGCAGAGGGAAAGAGGUGGGGGCAUCCUAUUCCCCCCAAACAGAGGGAAAGAGGUGGGGGCGUCCUGCCCCCCCACAGCAGAGGGAAAGAGGUGGGGGCAUCCUGUCUCCCUCCCCCACGGCAGAGGGAAAGAGGUGGGGGCGUCCUGCCCCCCCCCAGCAGAGGGAAAGAGGUGGGGGCGUCCUAUUCCCCCCAAACAGAGGGAAAGAGGUGGGGGCGUCCUGUCUCCCCCACGGCAGAGGGAAAGAGGUGGGGGCAUCCUAUUCCCCCCAAACAGAGGGAAAGAGGUGGGGGCGUCCUGCCCCCCCACAGCAGAGGGAAAGAGGUGGGGGCGUCCUGUCUCCCCCACGGCAGAGGGAAAGAGGUGGGGGCGUCCUGUCCCCCACCCCCCACCCCUGCCGAUGGAAAGCAGGUUCACCAGGAUCUCUGAGUCAGUCAGUAAACCGUCCGCUGAUCCAGGAACAGAGGUAACUUAGAGAACACAGCACACUGGUCUCUGACCUGAUCCCCAAAAAUCUAGGAGGGAGGACUUCCCC